RNAcentral lists this ribosomal RNA (301 nucleotides) under uncultured bacterium. RNAcentral's name for it is "partial 16S ribosomal RNA". It matches the Rfam family "Bacterial small subunit ribosomal RNA", at positions 509 to 809 of the family's 1533-position model. The record is from RNAcentral.
CAGCCGCCGCGGGAAUACAGAGGGUGCUAGCGUUAAUCGGAUUUACUGGGCGUAAAGCGUGCGUAGGCGGCUUCUUAAGUCGGAUGUGAAAUCCCUGAGCUUAACUUAGGAAUUGCAUUCGAUACUGGGAAGCUAGAGUAUGGGAGAGGAUGGUAGAAUUCCAGGUGUAGCGGUGAAAUGCGUAGAGAUCUGGAGGAAUACCGAUGGCGAAGGCAGCCAUCUGGCCUAAUACUGACGCUGAGGUACGAAAGCAUGGGGAGCAAACAGGAUUAGAUACCCCGGUAGUCCCUGUCUCUUAUAA